This 199-nucleotide ribosomal RNA is filed under the name Salmonella enterica subsp. enterica serovar Kentucky. RNAcentral describes it as "partial 16S ribosomal RNA". It matches the Rfam family "Bacterial small subunit ribosomal RNA", at positions 1 to 205 of the family's 1533-position model. The record is from RNAcentral. Lineage: Bacteria; Pseudomonadati; Pseudomonadota; Gammaproteobacteria; Enterobacterales; Enterobacteriaceae.
UUAAAUUGAAGAGUUUGAUCAUGGCUCAGAUUGAACGCUGGCGGCAGGCCUAACACAUGCAAGUCGAACGGUAACAGGAAGCAGCUUGCUGCUUUGCUGACGAGUGGCGGACGGGUGAGUAAUGUCUGGGAAACUGCCUGAUGGAGGGGGAUAACUACUGGAAACGGUGGCUAAUACCGCAUAACGUCGCAAGACCAAA